UACGAAGGGGGCUAGCGUUGUUCGGAAUCACUGGGCGUAAAGCGCACGUAGGCGGAUCUUUAAGUCAGAGGUGAAAUCCCAAGGCUCAACCUUGGAACUGCCUUUGAUACUGGGGAUCUUGAGUCCGGGAGAGGUGAGUGGAACUGCGAGUGUAGAGGUGAAAUUCGUAGAUAUUCGCAAGAACACCAGUGGCGAAGGCGGCUGACUGGUCCGGUUCUGACGCUGAGGCGCGAAAGCGUGGGGAGCAAACAGG
RNAcentral lists this ribosomal RNA (253 nucleotides) under uncultured bacterium. Its description in RNAcentral is "partial 16S ribosomal RNA". It matches the Rfam family "Bacterial small subunit ribosomal RNA", at positions 524 to 776 of the family's 1533-position model. The record is from RNAcentral.